CGAGCCUCCAACUUUACCUUUCCAACUCCGACAGCCCGUCGCCUUUCUGACCACGUCCCUACGGUUUCCCGGCAUCCGCCUCCCUCACCCCACCACACCUGAGGAAAACUUUUCCCUCGCCCCUCAAUUCAAAUUCAGCAGUGCCCACGGUUGCCGCAAACCGCCCGGUCCCUAGCAACAAGGUUCCGGCCGUAGAGCGAGAGCCUCUAGGUGUAAGGAAGGUGAUGUCGUAAAGCCGGGAGUGUCGUAAACCAGCAGCUGUUUAAGGAAGACAGAGCAGGCAUUGGAUAAUAUUCUUAUUAAGCUCAGGACAGUCAGCUUACCCUGAGGCGCAUUGACCACUGGGAGAGAUGUGGAUAUAGAAAUCCAAUCAUGGAUCAUUAGGAAGAAGGAAGCGUUGGAUAGGCACUCAGCAUGGUCCACCACAGGUGCAUUAAGGAUUGUGUAUUACGUUUUUUACUUAUGUGAAACACCACCUUCCCCCAUCAAGCCUUUUUCAGUUUAAAUUCUCAACUGGCAAUUGGCCGAAAACUCCCAUCUGAAGACAUGAUCAUCCAAAUGUCAUUUUGUGAUUUGGCUACUGUCUGCUUGACAUAGGAAAGCACUAUCAAGAAAGACUAAUGGAGUGACUAUCAAAAGGAAGUCAAUGGACAACCUUAAACUUCCACCACAAGAGGAAUAUAAAGAGGUCCCUCCUGCACCAAGAAAGAUCUGCAGAUCUUUUUCAGUGUUCUUGGAGGUGUGGGGUGUGAGAACUUGAUCAGUUUGUGUCAGCCACCUUGUUCUCUAAAGGGAAAGCCCCUCAAACCAUUUUGUAUUCUGUAUUACACUUCAGAAAGUGUGGAAGCAAAGGUCAUCUAAUCUUUAAAAGUGAUCCUGAAGACUUUAGUUCUACAAAAUGUGAACUUCUUAUGGACCAUUAAAGUGGGGAGUAAUCUGCUGAUUUUUGUCUAGCAACCCUACCUCUGAUGCAGGAUAAUUUUUUGUCUUUUCAAAACCGUUGUUCUUCCUAUAGCUGUAUAAUAAAAGAUAUUAAAG
This 1038-nucleotide long non-coding RNA is filed under the name Pan troglodytes (chimpanzee). RNAcentral describes it as "long non-coding RNA NONPTRT001703". Lineage: Eukaryota; Metazoa; Chordata; Mammalia; Primates; Hominidae. The record is from RNAcentral.